UCCGCAGCUGGCAGGACUCACCGAGUUGGUCUUAGGAGAUCAGGGCAUGUCAUCUGCCGCGCGGUGCGCCGUGUCCCUCGUAGACCUUUAUACCUCGCGUUUUCACAUAAAACUAUGAUACAGUGUAGAAUGUUAUUUUACCUUUUGCGGUCACACGCAAUCAAUACAACUUUCAACAACGGAUCUCUUGGCUCUCGCAUCGAUGAAGAACGCAGCGAAAUGCGAUACGUAAUGUGAAUUGCAGAAUUCAGUGAAUCAUCGAAUCUUUGAACGCACCUUGCGCCCCUUGGCAUUCCGAGGGGCACACCCGUUUGAGUGUCGUGAAAUCAUCAAAACCUUUUCUUUGAUCCUUUUUGGUCGGGAAAAGGAUUUUGGACUUGGAGGUUCCAUGCUCGCUUUCUUUCGAAAGCGAGCUCCUCUCAAAUGAAUUAGUGGGGUCCGCUUUGCUGAUCCUUGACGUGAUAAGAUGCUUCUACGUUUUGGAUUUGGCACUGUCCCAUGGAUGCCUGCUCCUAACUGUCUCAUGGACAAUGAUGGUGCUCCGGUCACCGCCGUCUACGUUGGCGGGGGGAGGCUGGACCCACAAAAAGAAAACCUGACCUC
This 603-nucleotide ribosomal RNA is filed under the name uncultured Russula. Its description in RNAcentral is "eukaryotic LSU rRNA". The stretch from base 168 to 321 matches the Rfam family "5.8S ribosomal RNA". Lineage: Eukaryota; Fungi; Basidiomycota; Agaricomycetes; Russulales; Russulaceae. The record is from RNAcentral.